RNAcentral lists this ribosomal RNA (443 nucleotides) under uncultured bacterium. Its description in RNAcentral is "partial 16S ribosomal RNA". It matches the Rfam family "Bacterial small subunit ribosomal RNA", at positions 338 to 795 of the family's 1533-position model. The record is from RNAcentral.
CCUACGUGAGGCAGCAGUGGGGAAUAUUGGGCAAUGGGCGCAAGCCUGACCCAGCAACGCAGCGUGAAGGCAGAAGGCGUUCGGGUUGUAAACUUCUUUUGUCAGGGACGAAGCAAGUGCCGGUACCUGACGAAUAAGCCAAGGCUAACUACGUGCCAGCAGCCGCGGUAAUACGUAGGUGGCAAGCGUUAUCCGGAUUUACUGGGUGUAAAGGGCGUGUAGGCGGGACUGCAAGUCAGAUGUGAAAACCACGGGCUCAACCUGUGGCCUGCAUUUGAAACUGUGGUUCGUGUGGACUGGGGAGGCAGACGGAAUGCCUAGUGUAGCGGUGACAUGCGUAGAUAUUAGGAGGAACACCAGUGGCGAAGGCGGUCUGCUGGACAGCAACUGACGCUGAGGCGCGAAAGCGUGGGGAGCAAACAGGAUUAGAUACCCCUGUAGUC